Molecule: small nuclear RNA, 155 nt
Organism: Ochotona princeps (American pika)
Lineage: Eukaryota; Metazoa; Chordata; Mammalia; Lagomorpha; Ochotonidae
Gene: U1
Rfam family: U1 spliceosomal RNA
About the family: U1 is a small nuclear RNA (snRNA) component of the spliceosome (involved in pre-mRNA splicing). Its 5' end forms complementary base pairs with the 5' splice junction, thus defining the 5' donor site of an intron.
Source: Ensembl
UUACUUACCUGGCACCGUGAUCACGCAGGGGGUCUUCCCAGGGCGAGGCUCAUCCAGUACAUUUGGGGUAUGCCGACCCCUGUGAUCUCCCCAGAUGUGGGACACUCAACUGCAUCCUGUGUGGUUGUGGGGGACUGCACUUGUGCUCUCCCCUU